UACAGAGGCCUCGAGCGUUAGGCGGAAUCACUGGGCUUAAAGCGUGUGUAGGUGGAUGCCUAAGUACCUUGUGAAAUCCCACGGCUUAACCGUGGAACUGCUUGGUAUACUGGGUGUCUUGAGCCACUCAGGGGCUACCGGAACAAAUGGUGGAGCGGUGAAAUGCGUAGAUAUCUGGAGGAACACCGGUGGCGAAGGCGGCAUCCUGGACCAUGACUGACGCUGAGGAGCGAAAGCGUGGGGAGCAAACAGG
Molecule: ribosomal RNA, 253 nt
Filed under: uncultured bacterium
Lineage: Bacteria
Description: partial 16S ribosomal RNA
Rfam family: Bacterial small subunit ribosomal RNA
Source: RNAcentral